GACGAACGCUGGCGGCGUGCUUAACACAUGCAAGUCGAACGGAAAGGCCCUGCUUUUGUUGGGUGCUCGAUUGGCGAACGGGUGAGUAACACGUGAGUAACCUGCCCUUGACUUUGGGAUAACUUCAGGUAACUGGGGCUAAUACCGGAUAGGAGCUCCUGCUGCAUGGUGGGGGUUGGAAAGUUUCGGCGGUUGGUGAUGGACUCGCGGCUUAUCAGCUUGUUGGUGGGGUAGUGGCUUACCAAGGCUUUGACGGGUAGCCGGCCUGAGAGGGUGACCGGCCACAUUGGGACUGAGAUACGGCCCAGACUCCUACGGGAGGCAGCAGUGGGGAAUAUAGCACAAUGGGCGGAAGCCAGAUGCAGCAACGCAGCGUGCGGGAUGACGGCAUUCGGGUUGUAAACCGCUUUCGCCUGUGACGAAGCGUGAGUGACGGGAAUGGGUAAAGAAGCACCGGCUAACUACGG
RNAcentral lists this ribosomal RNA (467 nucleotides) under uncultured bacterium. Its description in RNAcentral is "partial 16S ribosomal RNA". It matches the Rfam family "Bacterial small subunit ribosomal RNA", at positions 28 to 506 of the family's 1533-position model. The record is from RNAcentral.